RNAcentral lists this ribosomal RNA (774 nucleotides) under uncultured Enterobacteriaceae bacterium. Its description in RNAcentral is "bacterial SSU rRNA". It matches the Rfam family "Bacterial small subunit ribosomal RNA", at positions 724 to 1502 of the family's 1533-position model. Lineage: Bacteria; Pseudomonadati; Pseudomonadota; Gammaproteobacteria; Enterobacterales; Enterobacteriaceae. The record is from RNAcentral.
GGCUUCUGGACAGUACUGACGCUGAGAUGCGAAGCGUGGGGAGCAAACAGGAUUAGAUACCUGGUAGUCCACGCUGUAAACGAUGUCGAUUUGGAGUUUGUUGCCUAGAGUGAUGGGCUCCGAAGCUAACGCGAUAAAUCGACCGCUGGGGAGUACGGCCGCAAGGUUAAAACUCAAAUGAAUUGACGGGGGCCCGCACAAGCGGUGGAGCAUGUGGUUUAAUUCGAUGCAACGCGAAGAACCUUACCUGGUCUUGACAUCCAUAGAAUUCUGCAGAGAUGUGGGAGUGCCUUCGGGAACUAUGAGACAGGUGCUGCAUGGCUGUCGUCAGCUCGUGUUGUGAAAUGUUGGGUUAAGUCCCGCAACGAGCGCAACCCUUAUUCUUUGUUGCCAGCGAUUUGGUCGGGAACUCAAAGGAGACUGCCGUUGAUAAAGCGGAGGAAGGUGGGGACGACGUCAAGUCAUCAUGGCCCUUACGACCAGGGCUACACACGUGCUACAAUGGCGUAUACAAAGGGAAGCGAAGGUGCGAGCUGGAGCGGAUCUCAUAAAGUACGUCUAAGUUCGGAUUGGAGUCUGCAACUCGACUCCAUGAAGUCGGAAUCGCUAGUAAUCGUAGAUCAGAAUGCUACGGUGAAUACGUUCCCGGGCCUUGUACACACCGCCCGUCACACCAUGGGAGUGGGUUGCACCAGAAGUAGAUAGCUUAACCGCGAGGGGGGCGUUUACCACGGUGUGAUUCAUGACUGGGGUGAAGUCGUAACAAGGUAACCA